CCCUUUUCAUUAUCUUCCUAGGAAAACAGUUACCCAUAGGAGCCCAGAACCUUGCCUAGAGUCACCCUGCCAGCAAGUGGCAGAGCUGCGAUUUGAAUCUGGGGCUUAUGCAUCUGAUUCUGCUGAGGAUGUCAAAUUACCAGGCUUUGGUCUAAGCAGAAGUCAGGGGACAGCAGUGAAAAGAGCACGGUUCCACACCUUGAUGCCGUCUCUCACUUUCCCUCUGUGUGACCUUGGGGCAUCCUGGUAUUGGAGAGAAGGACUCAGGCCCCAGAAAUGAAGCAAAAACAGCCCAAUUUCC
This 301-nucleotide long non-coding RNA is filed under the name Homo sapiens (human). Its description in RNAcentral is "HSALNT0318826". The record is from RNAcentral. Lineage: Eukaryota; Metazoa; Chordata; Mammalia; Primates; Hominidae.